AUACGUAGGGGACGAGCGUUGUCCGGAAUUACUGGGCGUAAAGGGCGCGCAGGCGGAUAUUUAAGUCAGCUGUAAAAGGCAUGAGCUCAACUCAUGUAUGCGGUUGAAACUGGGUGUCUAGAGUGCUGGAGAGGUAGGCGGAAUUCCCGGUGUAGCGGUGAAAUGCGUAGAUAUCGGGAAGAAUACCAGUGGCGAAGGCGGUUUGCUGGCUGCAUACUGACGCUGAAGCGCGAAAGCCAGGGGAGCGAACGGGAUUAGAUACCCCGGUAGUCCUGGCAGUAAACGAUGUAUGCUGGGUGUGAGACUAGCGAUAGUUUCGUGCCGAAGUUAACGCGAUAAGCAUACCGCCUGGGGAGUACGGUCGCAAGAUUGAAACUUAAAGGAAUUGGCGGGG
This 394-nucleotide ribosomal RNA is filed under the name uncultured bacterium. Its description in RNAcentral is "partial 16S ribosomal RNA". It matches the Rfam family "Bacterial small subunit ribosomal RNA", at positions 523 to 918 of the family's 1533-position model. The record is from RNAcentral.